RNAcentral lists this ribosomal RNA (594 nucleotides) under uncultured freshwater bacterium. Its description in RNAcentral is "bacterial SSU rRNA". It matches the Rfam family "Bacterial small subunit ribosomal RNA", at positions 8 to 605 of the family's 1533-position model. The record is from RNAcentral.
AGAGUUUGAUCCUGGCUCAGGAUGAACGCUAGCGGCAGGCCUAACACAUGCAAGUCGAGGGGUAAGAUAGCAAUAUCUGAGACCGGCGCACGGGUGCGUAACGCGUAUGCAAUCUACCUUUUACAGAGGGAUAGCCCAGAGAAAUUUGGAUUAAUACCUCAUAGUAUAUAUAAUUCGCAUGUUUUAUAUAUUAAAGUUCCAACGGUAAAAGAUGAGCAUGCGUCCUAUUAGCUAGAUGGUAAGGUAACGGCUUACCAUGGCUACGAUAGGUAGGGGUCCUGAGAGGGAGAUCCCCCACACUGGUACUGAGACACGGACCAGACUCCUACGGGAGGCAGCAGUGAGGAAUAUUGGACAAUGGGCGCAAGCCUGAUCCAGCCAUGCCGCGUGCAGGAAGACGCAUCUAUGGUGUGUAAACUGCUUUUGUACGGGAAGAAACACUCCUACGUGUAGGAGCUUGACGGUACCGUAAGAAUAAGGAUCGGCUAACUCCGUGCCAGCAGCCGCGGUAAUACGGAGGAUCCAAGCGUUAUCCGGAAUCAUUGGGUUUAAAGGGUCCGUANGCGGUUUGAUAAGUCAGUGGUGAAAGCCCAU